Molecule: transfer RNA, 363 nt
Filed under: uncultured Microcystis sp.
Lineage: Bacteria; Bacillati; Cyanobacteriota; Cyanophyceae; Chroococcales; Microcystaceae
Description: partial 16S-23S ribosomal RNA intergenic spacer
Rfam family: tRNA (bases 135-208)
Source: RNAcentral
AAGGGAGACCUAAUUCAGGUAGGAGACGAAAAAAAAGUAGUCGCUACCAAGAAUCAAUCCCAAAAGGUCGGAGCGAGGCGAAAUUGGCUUUCAAACUAGGUUCUGGGUUCACACAAGGCCUGAAUCAGGAACAAGGGCUAUUAGCUCAGGUGGUUAGAGCGCACCCCUGAUAAGGGUGAGGUCCCUGGUUCGAGUCCAGGAUGGCCCACCUGUACAGGUGGCAAAAAGAAAGAAAAGAAGCGAGGAAUCAGCACCUUAUCUUACUGACAUAGUAAGAGAGAAUGCUGGCUCUGAGUAAAGAGUCCAGAGGAACCUUGAAAACUGCAUAGGGCUAGGUGAAAAAGCCAAAAAAGAAGACCGCAA